Pseudonaja textilis is the source of this 312-nucleotide non-coding RNA. The record is from RefSeq and is a predicted model, not a curated record. Lineage: Eukaryota; Metazoa; Chordata; Lepidosauria; Squamata; Elapidae.
UAGGUUACAAGUCGUGUGCAUAUAUACACGACAUAUAUACUCUUAACAACAAUUCAUUCUGUAAUAUCAUACAACUUUUCUAAAACUAUAUUGUAGCAUUUAGGACGAAGUUCAGCUGCUGAUGCUUUUGAUAAAACCCAAUCCCAUCAUUAAGAGUGAAAAGCUUUUAUGAGGGUAAUGAUUACGCUAUAUAACAUUCUUUCUUACCUCAGUUCUUGAACUGAACUAAGAUGAAAGACAUACUUAUUUUUCUUAAAGGAAUGUUCCAGCAUAAAGUCUUGGAUAGGAGACCAUCAGAGAAAUUUAAGACUG